Molecule: long non-coding RNA, 644 nt
Filed under: Chloebia gouldiae (Gouldian finch)
Lineage: Eukaryota; Metazoa; Chordata; Aves; Passeriformes; Passeridae
Description: Erythrura gouldiae (Gouldian finch) lncRNA (ENSEGOG00005007388.1)
Source: RNAcentral
CUCUGAUCUCAGCUAAUGAAAUGUGUUCUUGUUUGUUCAACCCUGCUGCCUUGGGGCUCUGGCAAAUUCCUGUCUUAAUCUUCAGCCUCACCUGGAGACACACCCCAGUAUGUGGAGAUUUGCAGGCAAGGAGUGGAAUUUACUCAUAAGGAAACAACUUGAAAUAUCCUGUUUUAAAGUAAAUGAAAAAGAGGCCAAGGAGAAUGGAAUCUACCUUACUAUCAGCUAAGAAUCAGAUGAUUGAAAAUAUGCUGCAAAGAUAAUCUUACUGGUUUAGUAAGAGUGGGAGUAUAGUUAUGAAUGAGCACUGAGUUACUCCUGCUUUUGCUGAAUAUUAUCUUGAGAGGCUUGACAAGUGUAUAAUAUUGUAUAUAAAAUUGCCUUAAUUCAGCCAUCUGCAAUGGAAAUCAUGAAUGCAAUGGAGAGAACCGUGUGGUCCAGCUAGAAGAAAUGCACUGGUUUAAAGAAGUUAUGUUGUCUCAUCUCCAGGAAUCUGAGCCUUCUGGUGUAAGAGUUUACACACUGAGGUGCCACUUGGGAAUGAAUAGGACUACUCCCAUUCUGAAAAAAAACAAGCAGAUCAAAAUGUGUGGGUGAAAGAGUUCACAUGAGCAGAGGAUGGGAGCUCAGAGCAUGGAUGGAUA